CCUACGGGUGGCUGCAGUCGAGAAUAUUCCACAAUGGACGAAAGUCUGAUGGAGCGACGCCGCGUGCAGGAAGAAGGUAUUCGUAUUGUAAACUGCUUUUCUCAGGGAAGAACUACGGUGACUGUACCUGAGGAAUAAGAGGUUACUAACUCUGUGCCAGCAGUAGCGGUAAUACAGAGACCUCAAGCGUUAUCCGGAUUUAUUGGGCGUAAAGCGCAGGUAGGCGGACGUAUUAGUCGGAUGUCAAAUCUCUCGGCUCAACCGGGAACAGGCAUUCGAAACGGUACGUCUAGAGAUAGCGAGAGAUCGGUGGAAUUCACGGUGUAGUAGUGAAAUGCGUUGAUAUCGUGAGGAACACCCAAGGCGAAGGCAGCCGAUUGGCGCUGUUCUGACGCUGAGCUGCGAAAGCGUGGGGAGCGAAUGGGAUUAGAUACCCUUGUAGUC
RNAcentral lists this ribosomal RNA (444 nucleotides) under uncultured bacterium. RNAcentral's name for it is "bacterial SSU rRNA". It matches the Rfam family "Bacterial small subunit ribosomal RNA", at positions 338 to 795 of the family's 1533-position model. The record is from RNAcentral.